Molecule: long non-coding RNA, 985 nt
Filed under: Mustela putorius furo (domestic ferret)
Lineage: Eukaryota; Metazoa; Chordata; Mammalia; Carnivora; Mustelidae
Description: lncRNA (ENSMPUG00000027459.1)
Source: RNAcentral
CUUAAUUAUUAUUGGUAAAUACAUUCCCUGGAAGAUGUCAUCACAAUGCAAGACAUCAAUGACUACUAUAAUUAGAAUAAAUGAGAGUUCUCAGAAACAGAAGUACACCAAAAAUUUGUCACAUUCCAUUUAUUAAGACACAUGUAGGUUUUUGGACUCCACUGAUUCAGUUUGAUCUUUUUUAUUGUGGGUAUCAGACACUAUGGAGCUAUAAGUCUGGGUUUGGGUAUAAUGAGGAGUUGUUUCUCCAGAAACCAACUGAAUUUGGAGCAGUGGGGCUGUGCUAUGAUGAAAACAGGUCGGAAGGAGGAAUCUUGGGCCACACAAGAAGACUGUGGAAGGGGAGUGAAACAUGGAGAAGGAGAGCAGUUGUCUCUGAACACUGAAAUGUUAAACUACUGUAAAGUUGGGACUUUUCAGAUCCAGUGGACCAUGAAAAAGGAACCAUAUUGGUUUGGGACUCCUCAAAUAAAACAGAAGGCAAAAAUACGUUUCUCACUCAUUUGGCCUUCCCCCACUCGGAUGAAACGCCAGGAACACAGAAACUGUCUUGUUGACACCUAUGUCUACAGCACCUGGAGGGGGGUCUGGCAUGGAGUGGAGUGGAGUCAGUAGUUUGGGGUUGGGUUAAUACAGUCCUCACAACAUUAUUCUGAGAAAUGUAGCAAGCAAGCUUACAAAUGAAUUUUCUACUAUUCAAACCACAAAGCUUUCUCCAUGGAAAAGAACAAUUAAAACAAACCCAGAGGCAAAAUCAUGACCACUUUUCUAUAAACUGAUGCUAGACCCUCAUCCCUGCCAGAAGUAGUCUUAAUGAGAGGCAUUGAUUCUGAAGGAGAAAAUGGCUGAUUGCAAAGCAGGUUAAGUUAUGAAAAAGCUUUCAAAGAUAUUUAUAUCAUAGGAUUUCCAUUGAAAAAUCCCACUUAUAGAUUUGCCAAGAGAGAAAAAAUACACAUAUAUAUUUUGUGUGAAUGUGGAAAGUGAU